Molecule: ribosomal RNA, 21 nt
Filed under: Puccinia dispersa f. sp. tritici
Lineage: Eukaryota; Fungi; Basidiomycota; Pucciniomycetes; Pucciniales; Pucciniaceae
Description: partial 28S ribosomal RNA
Source: RNAcentral
CUAAAAACCCCCCUUUUUUCA